GAUGAACGCUGGCGGCGUGCCUAAUACAUGCGAGUAGAACGCUGAAGGAGGAGCUUGCUCUUCUGGAUGAGUUGCGAACGGGUGAGUAACGCGUAGGUAACCUGCCUGGUAGCGGGGGAUAACUAUUGGAAACGAUAGCUAAUACCGCAUGACAACAGUUAUUGCAUGAUAACUGUUUAAAAGGGGCAACUGCUCCACUACCAGAUGGACCUGCGUUGUAUUAGCUAGUUGGUGAGGUAACGGCUCACCAAGGCGACGAUACAUAGCCGACCUGAGAGGGUGAUCGGCCACACUGGGACUGAGACACGGCCCAGACUCCUACGGGAGGCAGCAGUAGGGAAUCUUCGGCAAUGGACGGAAGUCUGACCGAGCAACGCCGCGUGAGUGAAGAAGGUUUUCGGAUCGUAAAGCUCUGUUGUAAGAGAAGAACGAGGGUGAGAGUGGAAAGUUCACACUGUGACGGUAUCUUACCAGAAAGGGACGGCUAACUACGUG
RNAcentral lists this ribosomal RNA (495 nucleotides) under uncultured bacterium. RNAcentral describes it as "partial 16S ribosomal RNA". It matches the Rfam family "Bacterial small subunit ribosomal RNA", at positions 28 to 507 of the family's 1533-position model. The record is from RNAcentral.